Molecule: ribosomal RNA, 380 nt
Filed under: Ancilla ventricosa
Lineage: Eukaryota; Metazoa; Mollusca; Gastropoda; Neogastropoda; Olividae
Description: partial 12S ribosomal RNA
Source: RNAcentral
UCCUAAAUGUAAAUUAAUUAUUAGUUUACCAGAGUACUACGGAUUGUAAUAAUUUAAAAUUCAAAGGACUUGGCGGUGUUUUAGACUUCUCAGGGGAACCUGUCUCGUAAUCGAUGAUCCACGUUGUACCUGGCCUCUAAAGUUGUAACGCAGUUUGUAUACCGUCGUCGUCAGGCAACCUUUAGAGGGGCUGGUAGUUGGCGCAGGAAAUAUGUUAGUUAGUACGUCAGAUCAAGGUGCAGCUGUAUGUGGGGGUGAGGAUGGGUUACAUUUAUGAUAGUUGUAAUACGGAUGAGUUUAAUUGAAAUAUUAUUUGGAAGGAGGACUUGAAAGUAAGGAUGCGGUUAGAUGGGUGUCUUGAAUGAGGCUCUGGAACGUGU